GCGUCCGUAGCUCAGUUGGAUAGAGCGCCGGCCUUCUAAGCCGGAUGUCGCAGGUUCGAUCCCUGCCGGGCGCGCCG
This 77-nucleotide transfer RNA is filed under the name Deltaproteobacteria bacterium. RNAcentral's name for it is "tRNA-Arg". It matches the Rfam family "tRNA". From Rfam's summary of the family: Transfer RNA (tRNA) molecules are approximately 80 nucleotides in length. Their secondary structure includes four short double-helical elements and three loops (D, anti-codon, and T loops). Further hydrogen bonds mediate the characteristic L-shaped molecular structure. tRNAs have two regions of fundamental functional importance: the anti-codon, which is responsible for specific mRNA codon recognition, and the 3' end, to which the tRNAs corresponding amino acid is attached (by aminoacyl-tRNA synthetases). tRNAs cope with the degeneracy of the genetic code in two manners: having more than one tRNA (with a specific anti-codon) for a particular amino acid; and 'wobble' base-pairing, i.e. permitting non-standard base-pairing at the 3rd anti-codon position. Lineage: Bacteria; Pseudomonadati; Myxococcota; Myxococcia. The record is from RNAcentral.